This 468-nucleotide ribosomal RNA is filed under the name uncultured bacterium. RNAcentral describes it as "bacterial SSU rRNA". It matches the Rfam family "Bacterial small subunit ribosomal RNA", at positions 328 to 793 of the family's 1533-position model. The record is from RNAcentral.
UCAGUCGACUCCUACGGGGAGGCAGCAGUGAGGAAUAUUGGGUCAAUGGGCGCAAGCCUGAACCAGCCAUGCCGCGUGCAGGAAGACUGCCCUAUGGGUUGUAAACUGCUUUAUACAGGAAGAAACACUCGGACGUGUCCGAGCUUGACGGUACUGUAAGAAUAAGGAUCGGCUAACUCCGUGCCAGCAGCCGCGGUAAUACGGAGGAUCCAAGCGUUAUCCGGAAUCAUUGGGUUUAAGGGUCCGUAGGUGGAUUAGUAAGUCAGAGGUGAAAGCCUGCAGCUCAACUGUAGAACUGCCUUUGAUACUGCUAGUCUUGAGUCAUUAUGAAGUGGUUAGAAUGUGUAGUGUAGCGGUGAAAUGCAUAGAUAUUACACAGAAUACCGAUUGCGAAGGCAGAUCACUAAUAAUGUACUGACACUGAUGGACGAAAGCGUGGGGAGCGAACAGGAUUAGAUACCCUGGUAG